Molecule: ribosomal RNA, 305 nt
Filed under: uncultured bacterium
Lineage: Bacteria
Description: bacterial SSU rRNA
Rfam family: Bacterial small subunit ribosomal RNA
Source: RNAcentral
GCCUACGGGACGCAGCAGUGGGGGAUAUUGCACAAUGGGGGAAACCCUGAUGCAGCGACGCCGCGUGAAGGAAGAAGGCUUUCGGGUUGUAAACUUCUUUUCUCAGGGACGAAGCAAGUGACGGUACCUGAGGAAUAAGCCACGGCUAACUACGUGCCAGCAGCCGCGGUAAUACGUAGGUGGCAAGCGUUGUCCGGAUUUACUGGGUGUAAAGGGCGUGUAGCCGGGUUGACAAGUCAGAUGUGAAAUCCUGCGGCUUAACCGCAGAACUGCAUUUGAAACUGUUGAUCUUGAGUACUGGAGAG